ACCGGGAUAACCCUGGGAAACUGGGGAUAAUACUGGAUAGGCAAUUUUUCCUGUAAUGGUUUUUUGUUUAAAUGUUUUUUCGCCUUAGGAUGGGUCUGCGGCCGAUUAGGUAGUUGGUUAGGUAAUGGCUUACCAAGCCGUUGAUCGGUACGGGUUGUGAGAGCAAGAGCCCGGAGAUGGAACCUGAGACAAGGUUCCAGGCCCUACGGGGUGCAGCAGGCGCGAAACCUCCGCAAUGUGAGAAAUCGCGACGGGGGGAUCCCAAGUGCCAUUCUUAACGGGAUGGCUUUUCAUUAGUGUAAAGAGCUUUUGGAAUAAGAGCUGGGCAAGACCGGUGCCAGCCGCCGCGGUAACACCGGCAGCUCUAGUGGUAGCAAUUUUUAUUGGGCCUAAAGCGUCCGUAGCCGGUUUAAUAAGUCUCUGGUGAAAUCCUGCAGCUUAACUGUGGGAAUUGCUGGAGAUACUAUUAGACUUGAGACCGGGAGAGGUUAGAGGUACUCCCAGGGUAGAGGUGAAAUUCUGUAAUCCUGGGAGGACCGCCUGUUGCGAAGGCGUCUAACUGGAACGGUUCUGACGGUGAGGGACGAAAGUUAGGGGCGCGAACCGGAUUAGAUACCCGGGUAGUCCUAACUGUAAACGAUGCGGACUUGGUGUUGGGGUGGCUUUGAGCUGCUUCAGUGCCGAAGGGAAGCUGUUAAGUCCGCCGCCUGGGAAGUACGGUCGCAAGACUGAAACUUAA
RNAcentral lists this ribosomal RNA (739 nucleotides) under uncultured archaeon. RNAcentral describes it as "bacterial SSU rRNA". It matches the Rfam family "Archaeal small subunit ribosomal RNA", at positions 120 to 859 of the family's 1478-position model. The record is from RNAcentral.